Molecule: transfer RNA, 52 nt
Filed under: Bescherellia cryphaeoides
Lineage: Eukaryota; Viridiplantae; Streptophyta; Bryopsida; Hypnodendrales; Spiridentaceae
Description: partial tRNA-Phe
Rfam family: tRNA
About the family: Transfer RNA (tRNA) molecules are approximately 80 nucleotides in length. Their secondary structure includes four short double-helical elements and three loops (D, anti-codon, and T loops).
Source: RNAcentral
GCUGGAAUAGCUCAGUUGGUAGAGCAGAGGACUGAAAAUCCUCGUGUCACCA